CGGUUAAAGAUGCUAAUCGACUAAGCGAUGAUGGUUCUAUCAAUGGCCAAGUUAGAAUAAAAAAUUAUAUCCUACACUAUUUAUACCAUAUGGCAUAUCAAACGCUUAUCUCACUGCACUAUCAUGCAAACAUACAAACGAGCAGCUAUAAUUAUCAGCAUCUACGGCCAUAUGUUGCACAACAUGUAGGGUAUAAUUUCUCAAGUUAGAAUACGCAUCACCAGAGUAGAGAAGAAGGCCUUAUAUUUCAGAAGUGUCCUCCUCCACAACAAAAACUACCACCGAAGGGGCACCGAAGAAAAACUACACGUUAGGCAUCCCACCACA
RNAcentral lists this long non-coding RNA (327 nucleotides) under Elaeis guineensis (African oil palm). RNAcentral describes it as "long non-coding RNA (EGUI_LNC012503)". Lineage: Eukaryota; Viridiplantae; Streptophyta; Magnoliopsida; Arecales; Arecaceae. The record is from RNAcentral.